This 303-nucleotide ribosomal RNA is filed under the name uncultured bacterium. RNAcentral describes it as "partial 16S ribosomal RNA". It matches the Rfam family "Bacterial small subunit ribosomal RNA", at positions 507 to 807 of the family's 1533-position model. The record is from RNAcentral.
AGCAGCAGCCGCGGUAAUACGUAGGUGGCAAGCGUUAUCCGGAAUUAUUGGGCGUAAAGCGCGCGCAGGCGGUUUCUUAAGUCUGAUGUGAAAGCCCACGGCUCAACCGUGGAGGGUCAUUGGAAACUGGGGAACUUGAGUGCAGAAGAGAAAAGCGGAAUUCCACGUGUAGCGGUGAAAUGCGUAGAGAUGUGGAGGAACACCAGUGGCGAAGGCGGCUUUUUGGUCUGUAACUGACGCUGAGGCGCGAAAGCGUGGGGAGCAAACAGGAUUAGAUACCCCUGUAGUCCCUGUCUCUUAUAC